Molecule: ribosomal RNA, 506 nt
Filed under: uncultured bacterium
Lineage: Bacteria
Description: partial 16S ribosomal RNA
Rfam family: Bacterial small subunit ribosomal RNA
Source: RNAcentral
AUUGAACGCUGGCGGUAGGCCUAACACAUGCAAGUCGAACGGCAGCACAGGAGAGCUUGCUCUCUGGGUGGCGAGUGGCGGACGGGUGAGGAAUACAUCGGAAUCUACUCUGUCGUGGGGGAUAACGUAGGGAAACUUACGCUAAUACCGCAUACGACCUACGGGUGAAAGCAGGGGACCUUCGGGCCUUGCGCGAUUGAAUGAGCCGAUGUCGGAUUAGCUAGUUGGCGGGGUAAAGGCCCACCAAGGCGACGAUCCGUAGCUGGUCUGAGAGGAUUAUCAGCCACACUGGAACUGAGACACGGUCCAGACUCCUACGGGAGGCAGCAGUGGGGAAUAUUGGACAAUGGGCGCAAGCCUGAUCCAGCCAUACCGCGUGGGUGAAGAAGGCCUUCGGGUUGUAAAGCCCUUUUGUUGGGAAAGAAAUCCAGCUGGCUAAUACCCGGUUGGGAUGACGGUACCCAAAGAAUAAGCACCGGCUAACUUCGUGCCAGCAGCCGCCGUAA